This 611-nucleotide ribosomal RNA is filed under the name uncultured bacterium. RNAcentral's name for it is "bacterial SSU rRNA". It matches the Rfam family "Bacterial small subunit ribosomal RNA", at positions 145 to 753 of the family's 1533-position model. The record is from RNAcentral.
AACCCGGAGAAAUCCGGACUAAUACCACACGGCACUUUCGGGAGGCAUCUUCUGAGAGUUAAAGGAGCGAUGCGGCCGGGGAUGGGCAUGCGGCGCAUUAGCUAGUCGGCGGGGUAACGGCCCACCGAGGCGACGAUGCGUAGGGGUUCUGAGAGGAAGGUCCCCCACACUGGUACUGAGACACGGACCAGACUCCUACGGGAGGCAGCAGUGAGGAAUAUUGGUCAAUGGGCGAGAGCCUGAACCAGCCAAGUCGCGUGAGGGAUGACGGUCCUAUGGAUUGUAAACCUUUUUUGUCGGGGAACAAAGGCGCCCACGAGUGGGCUGAUGAGUGUACCCGAAGAAAAAGCAUCGGCUAACUCCGUGCCAGCAGCCGCGGUAAUACGGAGGAUGCGAGCGUUAUCCGGAUUUAUUGGGUUUAAAGGGUGCGCAGGCGGAAGAUCAAGUCAGCGGUAAAAUUGAGAGGCUCAACCUCUUCGAGCCGUUGAAACUGGUUUUCUUGAGUGAGCGAGAAGUAUGCGGAAUGCGUGGUGUAGCGGUGAAAUGCAUAGAUAUCACGCAGAACUCCGAUUGCGAAGGCAGCAUACCGGCGCUCAACUGACGCUCAUGCA